UCCUUCACGCCUCUGUGUAGCAGCUGUGGUGCGCAUGCGCAGAGUGAGCCGUCGCCGCGCGGACAGGAUCUGUGAGCUCCUCCAUCUCUGCCGUCAGUCGGUGUUUUGCAGCCGCAGCCGGAGCUUUCAGCCAUUUUAGCAGCUGCUUCUUUCACAUCUGCUUUCACCCCCUCUUGCAUUAAACCCGGGUCCGAUUCUGGUCCCGGGUCGGAGUCCGGCUUUAGUGUGACCCGGGUUAUCUCUGCUGCACAUGUGAUGCCGACAGCUUCUGGACAUCCAGCGGACAACGAACCGUGAAGCAUCAUGGGAGGUGGCAGAUGGACGCCGUGGGCUGACAAGAGCCUGUGACACACACACACACACACACACACACACACACACACACACACACACACACACACACACACACACACACACACACACACACACACACACACACAC
Molecule: long non-coding RNA, 441 nt
Organism: Micropterus dolomieu (smallmouth bass)
Lineage: Eukaryota; Metazoa; Chordata; Actinopteri; Centrarchiformes; Centrarchidae
Exons: 2
Source: RefSeq, a predicted model, not a curated record